UACGGAGGGGGCUAGCGUUGUUCGGAAUUACUGGGCGUAAAGCGCACGUAGGCGGACUUUUAAGUCGGGGGUGAAAUCACAGGGCUAAACCCUGGAACUGCCUUCGAUACUGGAGGUCUGGAGGUCGAGAGAGGCGAGUGGAAUGCCGAGUGUAGAGGUGAAAUUCGUAGAUAUUCGGCGGAACACCAGUGGCGAAGGCGGCGCGCUGGCUCGAUACUGACGCUGAGGUGCGAAAGCGUGGGGAGCAAACAGG
RNAcentral lists this ribosomal RNA (253 nucleotides) under uncultured bacterium. Its description in RNAcentral is "partial 16S ribosomal RNA". It matches the Rfam family "Bacterial small subunit ribosomal RNA", at positions 524 to 776 of the family's 1533-position model. The record is from RNAcentral.